Numida meleagris (helmeted guineafowl) is the source of this 4720-nucleotide long non-coding RNA. RefSeq lists it as uncharacterized. The record is from RefSeq and is a predicted model, not a curated record. Lineage: Eukaryota; Metazoa; Chordata; Aves; Galliformes; Numididae. The transcript has 3 exons.
AGCCGCCCCCGAGGGCCGUUAACAACCGCCCACGGCCCGGCAGCAGAACAUCCCAGCUCGGCUCAGGCUGGCCCCCUGCGCAGCCGCCUACACGCGACUCCAGUAAACUCAGGAUGAGCCUUUGCUCUGUGACUGAAGAACAGCAUUCCACCAGCACAACAGUGAGCGGCCUGUCAGAGCAGUAACAAGUUUUACUGCCAGCCAAGCAAGGGUCACUUCGGCCUUUCAUCCCGUGGUUCCUGUGCAGAGCAGUUGUUGGACAAUUACUGAAACACACCUUGAGCAGUAGCAUUGGCCUCUCGUCAUGCAGGCAGAAGUGCUCCAGGUCUGAGAGAUCUCAGUGUCAGCUGGUGUGUUUGGUGUGGAGUCAGCUACCAGACUGUUCCCAAGGGCCACAUCGCGCCCUUGGUCCACCAGAGCCCUCUUCCCCUCCACUUCUGGACCAACAUUGUUUUUUUCCACUUAGUCAUGGUAGAAACGCUGGAUCCAAAGGCCAGCUGACAUCAUUUGGAGCUUCCUGCUGGUUUGAACAGCACUGGUCUGCUCACAGCUGCCAGGUGCAAGAGAGCACUGUAUGGAUGGAUGUUCCAGGAAACUGCAGAUUCAGCGAUUUCUAUCCAAAGACAAAGAAACAGCCCCAUGUUUGGGGGCUUAGUGGAGGUAAAUUCCUCUGAUAUAUGUUCUAAGCAUCUCAGGCCAACAUGACUUAAAACAAAUGUAAUGGACUCAUUUACAACAUAUUACACAGUUUCACAAAAGAAAUAAGGAUCUUCUCCUGCUCAGUGCAAAGCUCCUGAAAUUUCCUUCUAAGUCCCAAUAGAGUCAUUCUGCUCCUUCAGCUCAUGUGUCUAAGGAACGUAGAGAUGUUUCUGUUUGGCAAGGAUAAAUUAGUGAAAAACACAUCCACUAAAACUGUCAGCAGUGAGCAGAUUUUGGUUAGGGAGAAUAUCACGCACUGGAAAAUAUCCCAGAAAGCUGCAUGCAGAGUAGCAAACAGGAUGAGAACAAAGUUAUUUACCAAUACUAGCUGUGUUCCCACCAAGCAUAGCCCUUGUGGUAACUUGCCUAUUCUCUGUGUAACAAGGAAAGGAGUAAACCUGUUGAUGAAAAUAUUGAACACCAGACUUCUGUUCCAAAGGGAUGAUGUGUAGUCCACUGAACUUACUCACUCUGCACUGUGGAGCUGACGAGCAGAAAGAAAAUGAGUCUUAAUUGUGUGCAGCUUCCUAGAGGAUCAGCUGUGUGUGCCCCUCCGCUCUCGGGGAAAAAGGCUGUGAAGUUUUCCUGAAGGUUUCUGCUUUCCACCAGGUCAGGAAAAGAAGAAAGGAGGAUCGCUGUGUUUCUCUCUCCCACCUCUGCCCUGCCCCCCACCUCCCAAGAAGAAUAUCGAGCUAUAGUGCUAUUUAAACAACCUCAACAUUUUCUUCAGUCCCGUAAAACGGGCUCUUCCUCUUGCGUUUUCAGCGCUAUUUCGUGCCUAUAAUAAGGAAAUACUGUAUAAUGCUCAAUCAAAAGCCGUUUCAGAGUUCAAGAGUCGGUGAAAAGCAGCAACUUAAACCCGCUCCUAAUUUGACUGUCAAAGCACGUUGAUAGCAGUGGGUGGUCACAGUUCGAAACGAGACUUCCCAGCCCCUGUAUUGCUAUCCAAAUGAUGACCGUGUACGUGGGCUCCGCAGGGCUCGGUCCCCGUGUGUGCUGGUACACAGCGCCGGGCUCGGGAACGACCCCGUGGGGGUGAGGGGGCAUCGCUCCAGGACCGGCACCGUGGCCGCGGGACGAACCCAAAGCCUCUUGCCCUAGUGCCCGGGAGCAGGAGGUUUCUUUGGAGAACCCCCCUUGAAGCCCUUUUGUCCCGCUCUGCCCGAGGACUGAUGUCCUCCGCACCCAUCCUGCCGGGGGGUCCCGGGGCUCAGCGGGAUCGGGCCCUUCUCAGCUCACCCAUCAGAUCCCUCCCGCAGAGCGUGACCAUCCUAAACGGACCUCUUAUCGAUAGCGAUUUUUAAUCUCGAACUCACAAAGGAACACAUUCUCCGUUCCUUAAUAGAGCACAACGCCCAUUGACUUCUAUCCUAUUGACUUCAAUGGGAGUUUCGCUCCAUUAAGGACUGCAGAAUUUGGCCUAAACUGACCGCAAUAAUUUUGCUGCCGGUAAUGGAGCUUCAAAGCCGUCUCUAAUUAGCCGAUGAGCAGGAAUCGUUAAACAUGCUGUACAAUUCCGUCAGCUACGCGGGGGCUGCGGAGCAGCUGAGAAGUCCCGUUCAGUCCCGGGGAAGCUCAGAAUUCAGCUACCGCUGCGACUUCUGCAGAGACAGCGUGGGGACGGGGUGUUGGACGGGACAUUCCAGGUUCCAUAGCUGCUCUGCUAGCGUAGAAACAGUAGAAAAGAAAGCACUAAAAAGCUAUGGCAGAUUUGAUCACACAAUGACUUUUUUCCUCCUUCGAAGAUGCGUGAAAAAGAAUCAUUGUAUGUGUUGCUGCUUCUAUUUAUCAAAGAUCAGCCUAAUUAGUUUUUUUUAUCCAUAACCCAGAGUACUCCUAACGAGUUAUGCAGAAUCCCACAGUGCCUCCGAGCCGCAGUUUGGGCUGCGCUCAGCUUCGCUGCGACCUGGCACCUUCCCGUCCAGCACGAGCAAACUCCGUCCCUUCGAACCGAUCUCGGCUGUAUGGGCACUUCCAUUGCACGCCUUUCGUGGGCACAGCCCCCUCCUCGAAUUCCGCAGCUGUACAUCCAGCAGCGUGCAGAAAUGCCCCGCAAAGACCGUGAUUUAAUAGCCGAGUUCUCAAGUGCUUACUAACCUGCAUUUCUGCAGAGUCUAUUACCUUUGAAUUUGAAUUUGGAAAACAUUGUUUUCCUUUAGAAAUAAUACAUUCGACUAGCGAGAAUCGCGCAAAGGUGAAAUACAGCAGGAUAUCUAUAUAUAAUUCUUAAAUAGCAUAAUUUUUGAGGGCAUUUCCGUAUUAUCUCGAAAAACUAACCCGGAGGAGAAGAGAAUACUCCCGAAAUCUCUAUGCAUACGCAGCGUCGCAGUAAUCUGUUUUAUAAAGAAAUCUGCCUGUAAGUUUUGGUCAGUAUUCUAGGCAAAAUAUGCUCAACAGAUGAUAGUGGAGAUGCAGCCAGAAAACAACUCCAGCUAUUUAAACUGCCAAAUGAGACAUAAAGCCGCAUUGUAAAAAUCAUCUGGAAAACAGGUUUUCCUAUUGAAGUCGCUAUGUGUUAAUUACUGUGAUCUGGAAGAGCUCUGUAUCUAAACGCCUGGAAGCCGACUUUCACCCCACAUAUGUAAAUGAAGAAAGUGCUGAAUCUAAGCCAGAGGGUUCAUGUUCGGAUUCAUUUCCGUGCAUGCCUAGACAUUAAUAUGUGUUCAUGUAGGGUUCGUACAGUACGAGGUGUUAUUUCCUUAUAAAGAAACACCAGGUCUCGCUUUCCAUUCUCCUUACAAAAUUAUUCGCAUUAUUUAUGCUACAUUGAGCGAUCUAAUUUCUUCGUGAUAGUCAGCUAAUUGCUCUGGCAGGUAAUUAGAAGCGGUUUACAACGCAAAGGGCUUUUGCGGUGCCCCUCGGAUUAUUAAGUUGCUCUGUAAAUUAUACCAUAUUUGCCGAAGAGAGCGGGGGAGGAAGGAGCUAACGAUCUUUUGAGAAGUUCUUUUCCUGCGAUCGGAGCCGAAACGCGUCCCUGUCCCCCCCAACACUUAAAAAAAUAGAGGGAGGGGGCUUUGCCGGGGCUCGUAGUCGAAUUAUUCUAAAGCACGCGAUCUGAAGCCCAUUUUGUUCGUGCUCACUGGUCCAGAAUAACUUGGCCAUAAUGGCCGGGAAUGGGCCAGGUCUGCAGCAAGCUUCCUGCGCCGUGGCAGCAUCCAGCGGGCAUGUGGGAAAAGAAUGGCUUAAAUGGGGACAUCUGUUCAGUGCUGCUCAUCUCGCUCCUACAGCCAGGUCAGGUGAAGGGAAUAACCUGCUCGCCACCUCGUCCCCUUCCCGCUGCCCUCCUGCCACCCCCCACGCCCUCAGCCCGCUAAUCAGCUGCCGGUGUGGGGGAGCGGAGGGCGACCUAAUUGCUCUGCCAUAUAGGCAAAUUGCGACAGGGAAAGGUGGCGAGUACAUUGUAAGAGGAGCAGUAAAUAUAUCAAUAUUAGGGUCUCUCGAGUCAAAUCGCGGAGGCUCCGCGCAAGAGGAGGUUGCCAUACGCGCUCAGUGCGCGACCGCCGCGGACAGACGUUGCUGCUCACCCGCAGGUACGGCUCGCUCGGAGCCGCGGGGCUUCUCGCACUUCGCAAACGGCAGCAAUGGCUUUGGUUUAUUAUUUUUUUUUCCAGACUGUCGCUUUUCUGUUGGUAGUUGGUAGAAUAUACAAAUGAAUAGAUACAUACGUUCGCGGAAAGCUUUCCUUUUCUCCUGCGUUAUCUGCAGACGGAUUUUUUUGCAGACCGUGUAUUUGCAAGUGUCUAAGCACACCCACAUAUGUACAAGCACACACACACCGGAACGCACGUAUGUACCCAUCGUUACAUACACCUGUACACAAGCAACAGUAUUUCGGGGCACGAGCCGGCUCCAUGCAGCCCAGUGGGAGCCCCCGCCCUGCUCUCCGAUCUCUCGGACGGUCACUGUACGUCGCCACCCGUCUGUGCUGCUCAUCCAAUGAUUUGAGCACAUGUGUGGUUAAACCAUCGGACACGGAGCGGCUCCCAGAUUAUUUGUAAUUAAACACAAUUCCCAAAGUAAC